CAGAUUGAAGGAUGAUGCAUAUUAUAAACAGACUCUAAUGACUCUUUGGGCUUAUAAGUUAUAACCCAGGAAAUGAUCUCCAUGACACGAGGUAUACAGUAUUCUAUAUUCUUUUUAGUAAUACAAAUUUCUACAAUGACACAUUAAUAUACUAUAUUUACACGAGUUAUUCCUUGAGCAGAAGAUUGUUGUUAUGAUAUAAUAGUUUAAAAAUGAUCGAAGGGGAGCUAGGAACUUCUUAAAUUCAAAAGGAGUUUUAAGUUUCUUUUCUUUUUUGUGCUUUUUCGUAAAUAAAAAAAGGGAAAAGGCUCAAAAAUACCCCCUAAACUAUCCGAAAUAGCUCAUAUUUACCCUUAAACUAUAUUCCGGUUCAAAACUACCCUUCCCGUCAUACUAUUGGGUCAAAAGUACCCUUCUUAUUAACUGAAGUUGUUAAAUGCCAAGUGGAUGCCACAUGGCAUCCCUAAUUUUUCCCCUCAUUUCUCCAUUUCCCUUAGAAACGAUUUCAUCCAUUUCCCUAAUUUUCCACUCAUUGCAACAACAUUGUCUUAGUUUUAGCUUAUUUUUGUUCACAUGUUCAAUUUCAUGGCUUAGUGGAUUUAGUAGUGGCCACUGUUUGUUUUUCAAACUUUAGCUUCCAAACUAUGGUGAAUAAUGUUACUGGAUCAUUCAUUUACACUGAUGUAACUGUCUAGAAUGGUUGUAAUUAACUAGCUAGGUAGAGGGUAAAUCAUGCAAAUUCCUCAAAUAUAGUGAAGUUAGCAAAAAGAAAAGGAAUACAAGUACCUAAACCAAAUACUAAGACACCUGUGAGUUCAUAAUUCUUAGCAGUUUUGUCACUACAAACAAGCUUCAUAUUUUAAUUUUUUUUCUGAGAAGUAAUAAACAAGCUUCCUACAAGUCAAGUGAGGCAUUAAAUUUCUAGGUGUUACUUCCAUUUUUAGUUGAAAUUCUGCCAUCAUCUAUGCAUUCACAGUAUAAGAACAAUGCACACUGAAAACUGACUUAUUUCUUUUCCCUUUACAGAGUUAACUAAUUCUACUUAGGACUCUCUGACAUGAAUGAUUUCAGAUAAGUUUUAAUUCAUCUAAGGGAAAUGGAGAAAUGAGUGGAAAAUUAGGGAAAUGGAUGAAAUCGUUUCUAAGGGAAAUGGAGAAAUGAGGGGAAAGGGGUGGGUGAAAUGGUUUCAAAUGGAAAUGGAGAAAUGAGGGGGAAAAAUAGGGAUUAGGAAUAUUAGUCUAUGUGGAAAUGAAUGAAAUUGUGGCGCUUACGUGGCAUGUCAUGUGGCAUCCACAUGGCAUUUAACAGCUUCAGUUAAUAAGAAGGGUACUUUUGACCCAAUAGUAUGACAGGAAGGGUAGUUUUGAGCCGGAAUAUAAUUUAAGGGUAAAUAUGAGCUAUUUAGGAUAGUUUAGGGGUAUUUUUGAGCCUUUUCCGAUAAAAAAAUUAUACUCACUCACCUAUAUUCUAGGAUAAUCCUGGUGAUAUAUAGAGUCAUCAUUUCUCAUUUAAUAUGUUUUUAUUUCCUUUCUAAUAUUUUCAAUAGACAUCCUGUGAGGGUCAUAUAAAUAGACCCUGCAAGCUGACUACUACCUUCAUCAGUUACUAGGCUGUGAUGAGAUUGAGAGAACUCAACAGCAGAUCGAGUAAAAAUAUUGCCUCUUCAUUCAUAGUGAGAGAACUCAACAGCAUUUAGACAUGAUAAAUAACGUUGAAUUUAAUUUCUCGCAUUAUCUUUUCACCUUCUCCCUUACCCCUAAGGGGGAGACAAUACCAUUCUGUUGUCAUUCAGAUGCAUGGGCUGCUUGAUAGUUGGUGUAUUUGAAUGAUGAUCUACUUCAGUUCCUUGAUAAAUCAUAAGAAAUUUCAGUUCAUUUCUUAGUAGUAUUAUGCUAUGACAUCAAUUAACAUGGGUGUAUAUAAUAUAGUCUAUUAUAUUAACUUGAUUUCGUUCAGCACCAUUAAUGUUGAUUCGUUAUUUUAGUUCUUUUAAUUAAAUAAUACACUGAUAAAUUUGAGGGUAUUAUUAUAAAAAAUCACUGAUGAUACAAAAGAUUUCCAUAAGCCUAUUAGUGUUCUGUUGCUCUAUUAUGGUGUGGUUAUUUUGUCUUUUUAAUCUUUCUGUAGUAAUGGAAUGUUACAAGUGUCUUGCAACUUUUAACUUUUUUUGCACAAGAGUUUAUGGAAUAUGUACAUCUGCCAAACUUUUUUUGCAUAAGAGUUUAUGGAGUAUGUACAAAUGCAACGUUUUAUUUUAUAGCUUUCUAGUUUUAUUUUUGCAGACCUCUUUAUUUCAUGUUUUCUCAGCUAAUUGUUUUUUUACUAGCUUUUUAAAGCUAUAUGAUUUUUGGAAUAGCCAAGGAUGGCUUCCAAGCUGUAGAGUGUAGCUCUUUCUUACUGAAAUGAUAAAUCAAGACACGUUCAAAGAUACAUACAUUUGAUAUGUUUAAUGGUAUAUUUCUAUUUAUUUGUAUUUUUUUCAUGUCGUAUAAAUAACUAUCUUAUUAAGCGCAAUGAUGUACACAGAAGAUAUUUUUCACAUGUAACAAUAGCUUCCUGGUAAAUUUGUAUAUGGAUGGAUUUAAAAUGCUUUAUUGUUUGAGUAACAGUUGUCAUUUGCAAGGAGUGUUGUUUUAGUUUAUAGCUAGGUAUUCAGUGUAAGUUAUAAUAGUUAACCAGAAGCCUCAAGCAUUUUGAUAUGGUCAAAUAUAUAUGAUUUUCAAUUUUAUGUCAUAACUGUGGGAGUGUU
This 2749-nucleotide long non-coding RNA is filed under the name Solanum tuberosum (potato). RNAcentral's name for it is "long non-coding RNA (STUB_LNC010120)". Lineage: Eukaryota; Viridiplantae; Streptophyta; Magnoliopsida; Solanales; Solanaceae. The record is from RNAcentral.